RNAcentral lists this ribosomal RNA (530 nucleotides) under uncultured bacterium. RNAcentral describes it as "partial 16S ribosomal RNA". It matches the Rfam family "Bacterial small subunit ribosomal RNA", at positions 355 to 902 of the family's 1533-position model. The record is from RNAcentral.
UGGGGAAUUUUUGGACAAUGGGGGCAACCCUGAUCCAGCCAUGCCGCGUGAGUGAUGAAGGCCUUCGGGUUGUAAAGCUCUUUUGGCGGGGACGAUGAUGACGGUACCCGCAGAAUAAGCCCCGGCUAACUUCGUGCCAGCAGCCGCGGUAAGACGAAGGGGGCUAGCGUUGUUCGGAAUUACUGGGCGUAAAGCGAGUGUAGGCGGUUGCCGUAGUCAGGUGUGAAAGCCUUGAGCUCAACUCAAGAAAUGCACUUGAUACUGGGUGACUAGAGGACCGGAGAGGAUAGUGGAAUUCCCAGUGUAGUGGUGAAAUACGUAGAGAUUGGGAAGAACACCAGUGGCGAAGGCGGCUAUCUGGACGGUUACUGACGCUAAGACUCGAAAGCGUGGGGAGCAAACAGGAUUAGAUACCCUGGUAGUCCACGCCGUAAACGAUGGGUGCUAGACGUUGGCGAGCUUGCUCGUCAGUGUCGCAGCUAACGCGUUAAGCACCCCGCCUGGGGAGUACGGCCGCAAGGUUGAAACUC